This 719-nucleotide long non-coding RNA is filed under the name Naja naja (Indian cobra). RNAcentral's name for it is "lncRNA (ENSNNAG00000005916.1)". The record is from RNAcentral. Lineage: Eukaryota; Metazoa; Chordata; Lepidosauria; Squamata; Elapidae.
GUGUGAUUGAUGUAAAGCUCCCCGGCGCCGAAGCUGAAGGCGAGCGCGCUCCUUCAGGUUUGCCCGUUCCGCGGGCUCACGCGCUCUGCACGUGCUCAGGAGCCCGCUCGUCCUGCCAAAGCUCCGGGCGGGCUUGCGUUUCAAGGCACCGGGAAGCUCGGGGGGGGGCGGUAGCUGAAGCGGCCUCUCGAUGUAGGAUGUCUCCUCUUCGCCAAUGGCUCAGCGGCUCCUGGCGGGGAGGACGACGCGGCUGCCCUCCUGAGGCGACCGCCCUGGAGACGAGGCGGCGGUGGCUGCAGCAGCAGCAGCAGCAGCAGCAGCAGCGACGGCGGGUUUCCUACGGCAACUUCGUUCAGGUUUCCCCGGCGGCCGAGCGCCUGGUGGGCUCGUCCCUGCCCGGGCUUAUCCUGGAGCGCUGAGUCGGGGUUGGCGGAGAAGCGCGGCUCCAGCCCCCCCCUUCCCGUCCCCCGCUGGACCGGCCCGUGGAUUCGGAGCUCGCGCUGCGUCUCCGUCGCCUUUUUGAACGGGCGUCCGACGUCGCUUCUCCGAGCCUCCCUUUUGGAUGCGACUCCUGUUUCUGGAUCAACUUCCUCUUGCUCAUCACUUGGCAGACCCUUGUGGGAAAUUGGUGAAGAGGAAGCUGAAGGUGGAUUUUCAAAGGUAAAAGGCCUCUUAAUCAAAUUUUUUUUUCAUGGGUUGUGGCUGUCUUUAAGAGAGAG